AUGUAAAGGUCAAGUUUGCAAAAUGAUCAUCAGAAGUAACACAAAACAAAAAAGUGCAAGCUGCCCAUUUAGUCUUUGUUUUUGGAUAGUUAAAUUAUGUUACCAUAAUGGCUAUGCGACAAUGUUUUGGACGGGGAAAGGUGACAAAAGGCGAUAAGGGUCCAAACUAACAUCAUCUUUGUCGCCAUUGUCCCCUCACCAUAAAGCUAAUAGUCGAUGAAGGUUCGCCUUGCCUCACGCCAUUGGGGACCAGAUGAUUAUUUUUCACAACAGUGCUAUGCGAUCAGCUCAGAUGUCAAGCAAGAACUCUCUGAUGUUUCUCUUUAAUUACUGUGUUAGGAACUCUGUAUGAGCUCUACUUAUUUGGUACCUAUUCCAGAAAAUGGCUCGACGUCUCUCAAAUUGAAACAUCGAUUUCAUUAAUAUAAGACAUAUGUCUCAGAAAUCACAUUGUUGUAUGAUGG
Molecule: unclassified non-coding RNA, 464 nt
Filed under: Hevea brasiliensis (rubber tree)
Lineage: Eukaryota; Viridiplantae; Streptophyta; Magnoliopsida; Malpighiales; Euphorbiaceae
Source: RNAcentral